Eriocheir sinensis (Chinese mitten crab) is the source of this 764-nucleotide long non-coding RNA. RefSeq lists it as uncharacterized. The record is from RefSeq and is a predicted model, not a curated record. The transcript has 3 exons. NCBI's taxonomy places the organism in Eukaryota, Metazoa, Arthropoda, Malacostraca, Decapoda, Varunidae.
GUUAGGUUAAGUUAGGUUAGUUUAGUUUGUUAGGUUAAGUUAGGUUAGUUUGUUAAGUUAGGUUAGUUUGUUAAGUUAGGUUAGUUUGUUAAGUUAGGUUAGUUUGUUAAGUUAGGUUAGUUUGUUAAGUUAGGUUAGUUUGUUAAGUUAGGUUAGUUUGUUAAGUUAGGUUAGUUUGUUAAGUUAGGUUAGUUUGUUAAGUUAGGUUAGUUUGUUAAGUUAGGUUAGUUUGUUAAGUUAGGUUAGUUUGUUAAGUUAGGUUAGUUUGUUAAGUUAGGUUAGGUUAAGUUAGGUUAGUUUGUUAAGUUAGGUUAGUUUGUUAAGUUAGGUUAGUUUGUUAGGUUAGGUUAGUUUGUUAAGUUAGGUUAAGUUAGGUAAGGUCUUUUUAAUCUCUCGGCCACUUCUCUUCCCUCUCCUCCUUCCUUUUGCGUUUCUUCCUGACCUUUUCCUCCCUCCUGACCCCUUUCUCUUUCUCUCCCUUCCUCCCUCUCUCUCACCUCCGCGCAUCCACUCAUCACUCAAAAGGAAGCCAUCGGAGGAGGGAAAAAAGAGUUAAGGGAAGUGCCUGCAACUCUCUGGUCCAGCCCCGACGCCGCGGCUCCCUUCUCCGGCCUUUCCAGCAUCUCUUAAUUGCGCCCUGUCUUAAGUCUUCACGCGCCGACCUCUCUCCCGCCCUGACAGCAUCCUCGCUUUCUGCUAUCUUUCUUUCUCUGUUCUCUCUUUAUUCUUUUAUUCUUCCUUACUUUCUUCUCUAUCAUUCUUUA